RNAcentral lists this ribosomal RNA (387 nucleotides) under uncultured bacterium. RNAcentral's name for it is "bacterial SSU rRNA". It matches the Rfam family "Bacterial small subunit ribosomal RNA", at positions 28 to 416 of the family's 1533-position model. The record is from RNAcentral.
GACGAACGCUGGCGGCGUGCUUAACACAUGCAAGUCGAGCGGUAAGGCCCUUUCGGGGUACGACGAGCGGCGAACGGGUGAGUAACACGUGGGUGACCUGCCCUCAGCUCUGGGAUAAGCCUGGGAAACUGGGUCUAAUACUGGAUAUGACUCCACGGUGCAUGUCGUGGGGUGGAAAGCCUUGUGCGGCUGAGGAUGGGCCCGCGGCCUAUCAGCUUGUUGGUGGGGUGANGGCCUACCAAGGCGACGACGGGUAGCCGGCCUGAGAGGGCGACCGGCCACACUGGGACUGAGACACGGCCCAGACUCCUACGGGAGGCAGCAGUGGGGAAUCUUGCGCAAUGGGCGAAAGCCUGACGCAGCGACGCCGCGUGAGGGAUGACGGCC